This 172-nucleotide ribosomal RNA is filed under the name Geitlerinema calcuttense NRMC-F 0142. RNAcentral's name for it is "partial 16S ribosomal RNA". It matches the Rfam family "Bacterial small subunit ribosomal RNA", at positions 1 to 183 of the family's 1533-position model. Lineage: Bacteria; Bacillati; Cyanobacteriota; Cyanophyceae; Geitlerinematales; Geitlerinemataceae. The record is from RNAcentral.
GUCACGGAGAGUUUGAUCCUGGCUCAGGAUGGAACGCUGGCGGUCUGCUUAACACAUGCAAGUCGAACGGUGUCUUCGGACACAGUGGCGGACGGGUGAGUAACGCGUGAGAAUCUACCUUCAGGUCGGGGAUAACCCCUGGAAACGGGGGCUAAUACCGGAUAGGUCGAAA